GAUUAUCGUGGAGAGGCCACACCCGUUCCCAUUCCGAACACGGAAGUUAAGCUCUCCAACGCCGAUGGUACUGCCCCUUGGGGUGGGAGAGUAGGUCGUCGCCAGGC
This 107-nucleotide ribosomal RNA is filed under the name Spirochaetia bacterium. The record is from RNAcentral. Lineage: Bacteria; Pseudomonadati; Spirochaetota; Spirochaetia.